This 76-nucleotide microRNA precursor is filed under the name Drosophila ananassae. RNAcentral's name for it is "mir-92 microRNA precursor family". It matches the Rfam family "mir-92 microRNA precursor family". From Rfam's summary of the family: This family represents the microRNA precursor mir-92. Human miR-92 has two predicted hairpin precursor sequences: mir-92-1 on chromosome 13 and mir-92-2 on chromosome X. miR-92 has also been cloned from mouse embryonic stem cells. The mature sequence is excised from the 3' arm of the hairpin. The record is from Rfam by way of RNAcentral. Lineage: Eukaryota; Metazoa; Arthropoda; Insecta; Diptera; Drosophilidae.
UUUUAUUUGUAGGUCGCGGAAGGUUGCAAUGCGUAUUUUGAAUCGUAUUGCACUUUCCCCGGCCCAUAGAUAUUAU